CCCUUAGAUGCUCUGGGCCGCACGCGCGCUACACUGGUCGAUGCAACGAGUUUCUUUCCUUGGCCGACAGGCCUGGGCAAUCUUUGAACAUCGAUCGUGAUCGGGAUAGAUUCUUGUAAUUUUUGAUCUUAAACGAGGAAUUCCUAGUAAACGCAAGUCAUCAGCUUGCAUUGAUUACGUCCCUGCCCUUUGUACACACCGCCCGUCGCACCUACCGAUUGAAUGGUCCGGUGAAAUCUCCGGACUGGCGUGAGUCGGAGCAAUCUGACAAACACCGGAAAGUUGAUUAAACCUUACCAUUUAGAGGAAGGAAAAGUCGUAACA
RNAcentral lists this ribosomal RNA (324 nucleotides) under uncultured eukaryote. Its description in RNAcentral is "partial 18S ribosomal RNA". It matches the Rfam family "Eukaryotic small subunit ribosomal RNA", at positions 1470 to 1796 of the family's 1831-position model. The record is from RNAcentral.